Non-coding RNA from Hordeum vulgare subsp. vulgare (domesticated barley), 135 nucleotides. NCBI's taxonomy places the organism in Eukaryota, Viridiplantae, Streptophyta, Magnoliopsida, Poales, Poaceae. The record is from Rfam.
AUUAUACUACCUUCGUCCCAAAAUUCUUGUAUAAGAUUUAUCUAGAUACGUAUGUAUCUAACACUAAAACGUAACUAGAUACAUCCAUAAUUAGAGAAAUCUAAGACAAGAAUUUUGGGACGGAGGAAGUAUUAA